This 1384-nucleotide ribosomal RNA is filed under the name uncultured bacterium. RNAcentral's name for it is "partial 16S ribosomal RNA". It matches the Rfam family "Bacterial small subunit ribosomal RNA". The record is from RNAcentral.
AGAGUUUGAUCCUGGCUCAGGAUGAACGCUGGCGGCGUGCCUAACACAUGCAAGUCGAACGGACUCAUAUUGAAACCUAGUGAUUUAUGAGUUAGUGGCGGACGGGUGAGUAACGCGUGGAAAACCUGCCGUAUACCGGGGGAUAACACUUAGAAAUAGGUGCUAAUACCGCAUAAGCGCACAGCUUCGCAUGAAGCAGUGUGAAAAACUCCGGUGGUAUACGAUGGUUCCGCGUCUGAUUAGCUAGUUGGCGGGGUAACGGCCCACCAAGGCAGCGAUCAGUAGCCGGCCUGAGAGGGUGAACGGCCACAUUGGGACUGAGACACGGCCCAAACUCCUACGGGAGGCAGCAGUGGGGAAUCUUGCGCAAUGGGCGAAAGCCUGACGCAGCGACGCCGCGUGCGGGAUGACGGCCUUCGGGUUGUAAACCGCUUUCAGCAGGGACGAGGCCGCAAGGUGACGGUACCUGCAGAAGAAGCCCCGGCUAACUACGUGCCAGCAGCCGCGGUAAUACGUAGGGGGCGAGCGUUAUCCGGAUUCAUUGGGCGUAAAGCGCGCGUAGGCGGCCAGUUAGGUCGGGAGUCAAAUUUCGGGGCUCAACCCCGUCUCGCUCCCGAUACCGGCUGGCUUGAGUGUGGUAGGGGAAGGCGGAAUUCCCGGUGUAGCGGUGGAAUGCGCAGAUAUCGGGAAGAACACCGGUGGCGAAGGCGGCCUUCUGGGCCAUCACUGACGCUGAGGCGCGAAAGCUAGGGGAGCAAACAGGAUUAGAUACCCUGGUAGUCCUAGCCGUAAACGAUGAACGCUAGGUGUGGGGCGAUGUCGCUCCGUGCCGCAGCUAACGCAUUAAGCGUCCCGCCUGGGGAGUACGGCCGCAAGGCUAAAACUCAAAGGAAUUGACGGGGGCCCGCACUAGCGGAGGAACAUGUGGUUUAAUUCGAUGAUACGCGAGGAACCUUACCCGGGCUCAAACGCAGGAGGGAUGUUUUUGAAAGGAGGCAGCCAGCAAUGGUCUCCUGCGAGGUGCUGCAUGGUUGUCGUCAGCUCGUGCCGUGAGGUGUCGGCUUAAGUGCCAUAACGAGCGCAACCCCUACCUACAGUUGCCAUCGCGUGAUGGCGGGCACUCUGUGGGGACUGCCUGCGCAAGCAGUGAGGAAGGCGGGGAUGACGUCAAAUCAGCACGGCCCUUACGUCCGGGGCGACACACGUGUUACAAUGGCAGGUACAGCGGGAAGCCACCCGGCGACGGGGCGCGGAACCCGAAAACCUGUCUCAGUUCGGAUUGGAGUCUGCAACCCGACUCCAUGAAGCUGGAUUCGCUAGUAAUCGCGCAUCAGCCACGGCGCGGUGAAUACGUUCCCGGGCCUUGCACACACCGCCCGUCAAG